GACGAACGCUGGCGGCGUGCUUAACACAUGCAAGUCGAACGGUGAACGAGGGAGCUUGCUCCCUCCGGAUCAGUGGCGAACGGGUGAGUAACACGUGAGCAAUCUGCCCCGAACUCUGGGAUAAGCGUUGGAAACGACGUCUAAUACCGGAUACGAUGUGGGAGGGCAUCCUCCCCGCGUGGAAAGAACUUCGGUUCGGGAUGAGCUCGCGGCCUAUCAGCUUGUUGGUGAGGUAACGGCUCACCAAGUCGACGACGGGUAGCCCGCCUGCGGGGGGGACCGGCCACACUGGGACUGAGACACGGCCCAGACUCCUACGGGAGGCAGCAGUGGAGAAUAUUGCACAAUGGGCGCAAGCCUGAUGCAGCAACGCCGCGAGAGGGACGACGGCCUUCGGGUUGUAAACCUCUUUUAGCAUAGAAGAAGCGAAAGUGACGGUACCUGCAGAAAAAGCACCGGCUAACUACGUG
This 470-nucleotide ribosomal RNA is filed under the name uncultured bacterium. RNAcentral's name for it is "partial 16S ribosomal RNA". It matches the Rfam family "Bacterial small subunit ribosomal RNA", at positions 28 to 507 of the family's 1533-position model. The record is from RNAcentral.